Molecule: transfer RNA, 75 nt
Filed under: Escherichia coli
Lineage: Bacteria; Pseudomonadati; Pseudomonadota; Gammaproteobacteria; Enterobacterales; Enterobacteriaceae
Description: tRNA-Glu
Rfam family: tRNA
About the family: Transfer RNA (tRNA) molecules are approximately 80 nucleotides in length. Their secondary structure includes four short double-helical elements and three loops (D, anti-codon, and T loops).
Source: RNAcentral
GCACCGUUCGUCUAUCGGUUAGGACACCCGCCUUUCACGCAGGUAAGAGGAGUUCGAUUCUCCUACGGUGUACCA